RNAcentral lists this long non-coding RNA (3923 nucleotides) under Sus scrofa (pig). RNAcentral's name for it is "lncRNA (ENSSSCG00030022534.1)". Lineage: Eukaryota; Metazoa; Chordata; Mammalia; Artiodactyla; Suidae. The record is from RNAcentral.
GUGUAAUAGCUGUAGGAAAUGAAAACAGGAAUCAGAGGAGGAAGGGGGAAUACGCAGCCGUGAUGAAUUUCCAAGUGCAGGCCAAGAAGGGAGGUGAGCUAGAGAAAGUCUGGGUUCUCUUUGAUAAGAUUCCUUCCUGGAGAAGCUGGGGAGCCCGGAGUGAGUGUGCACAGCACAAUGAGAGGGACGCUUGGAAGGGGAACAAAGCUGCUUGUGUAAGUGCGAUGGGGGAUGCUAGCCUCUUCAGCCGAGUCCGGAAAUUCAUUCUGUAACAAAGAACUGUCAUUCCAAGUCAAUGACACCUUCUAAAUCCUCUCAGACUGUGCCCAAAAUUACAGAGAAGAAAUGGCGGGUCGAUUCCAUUUGGCCAGAACUGGGUAGCUGUAUACUUCGCUCACAUACCUGGAUCUAACGGAGAUGAGACAAAGGCCAGGCGAUAAAGCAAGUCAGUCCAGGAUGGGGAGGAGGCUGAUGCAGAACAGAUAAUGAAGGGACCGAGAUUUGAAAGCAUGGCGUCUAAGUCUUGCUGUGUAAUGAACAGAGGAGAGUGGAGGGCUGAGAUCUGAGACCCCAGUGCACCUGUGUCUGGAGCUCCCCUGCCAGCAGCUUGGCUUCAGCUCUGGGAAAUGUGGGUGAGCUCCCUGGGAACCUGACUGCCUCGGGCCACCUUGACUGCUUGUUAAAAAGAGCCAAAGGCCAGUAUUUCCUCUAAAGGUCAUAGAUAGAUCCUUAUUUUUAAUAAAGGAGGUGAUCACACAUAUAACUAUUUUAACUUGCUUUUUCGUGGACCUGGGUCAGAGACUGAGCAGGAAUGACUCCAUUCUUUCCCUUAGUUUUCCAUCUAUAGCCUUGGAGAAGAGAAAUUACUCAAGCAGUGGGUAACCCUAAGUUUGUUCUCUGUGUCUAUGAGUCUGUCUGUUUUGCUCAUAAGUUCAUUUGCAUCAUAUUUUAGAUUCUACAUACAAGCGACAUCAUAUGAUAUUUGUCUCUGCUUUCUGAUUUACGUCACUUAAUAUAAUCUCUAGUUGCAUCCAUCUCUCUGCAAGUGGCAUCAUUUCAUACUUUUUAAUGGCUGAGUAGUAUUCCAUUGUAUAUCUACACCACAUCUUCUUCAUCUAUUCAUCUGUCCAUGGACAUUUAGGUUCUGGCAUGUCUUGGCUAUAGUAAAUAGCUCUGCCAUGAACUCUGGGGUGUGUGAAGGCUUUGAAAUUGGAGUUUUUUAUCUUCUCUACAUACAUGCCCAGGAGUGGAAUUGCUGGCUAGUGUGGUAACUCUAUUUUUAGUUUUCUGGGCAAUCUCUACACUGUUCUCCAUAGUGGCUGUACCAGUUGACAUUUCCAGCCACAGUGUAGGAGGGGAACGUGUGUCUUUCCCUGAGCUGACGCCUGCCUCCUUGUAACAGAGCCUCGCUCCUAGUUCGUUAGUACAGCAGGUGUGUGGGGAGGCACCACAACAGGUGAUGCUUCAUCCUGCUGAGGCUGUGACCUGGUUUGGUCUUUGAUGGAGGAAGUCCAUGGAUCAGCUUCUCCAGUGAGGAUGGGGGCUGGUGGAGAGCAGCAGUCCCUUGAAAAUAUUUGCAGGAUUUUGUUUGCAUAUAUGUUUUCCCGGGAAAGCCUCCUUAGCUCUCAGCACUUUUUUCAAGCAUGUCUGUUUGCUUUAGAAGAUUAAGGAGCAUCGGCUUCCUUCUUCAUGGAAUUCUGUGUCUCUCCCAGAUCUCCUCUUGGGAAGCCUAGACCCUCCACGUCUCUGUAUUCCUUGUCUGUCUGUCUCUGUUGUAAAUAUUUCUUUUAAAUAUUUAGGUCUGGGACACCUGCCAAAUUUUCUCAAUUUGUCUGUGUUCCUCUAAGUUUGGGUCCUCAGAUCCAUGCACAAGCUAAACCCCAGGAGUCACCUGAUAGCCCCAAGAGUGUGACAUCUUUCCUUGAUUUGACCUGAGACCUCUUUGAUUGCUCCUAAGUUUUUCUCCUUUGGAAACCUUAGUGUACUUGGUUUGGAAUGUUGAUGUUGCAGAUUUAAAAAAAAAUAAUUUGUUGAUACAUGUAACAACAAAUUACAUAUGCUGGGGGUUCGGGCUGCCUUCAGGCCUCUUCAUAGUCAACACGAUCCUCAGUGCUUUGUGUUGUUCUUGGACCAUGUAUGCAGGACCUGAUACUUAUCCCUUUGAAGUGUCUUGUUAGGAGCAAUGGUAUCAUCAGGUCUAUGGGCUAUCAGCCUUCCUGUCCAGGUUAGAGUCAUCUUCAGAUCUGAUCAGCAUGCCAACAAAUUAAUGACGUUGAGCCAAAUAAGGUCCACACCAGUGUCGCAACUUGCCCCACCCACGGCACUUGUGCUGGGAUUGGGUUGAUAGACCCUUUGGGCAUGAGUGAUGUUUCUCAGAGUGUAUUCUGAAGGACACGGGACUUGAGGAUGGUCCUAGGAAUAGAACCCUAUAAUCCAAUACAUGAGGAUAGGGCUGUAUGUCAUAACCCUUUCUUGGAGACUCAGGAUGCGUAUGAGCGUAUUAAAAAAAGCUAGUGACAGAUUGUUAAGCAUAGUUUUCCAAGGAUAUUUGACCAUUACGUUGUCCUCCCUGCUUUCUCUGUAACACCCAAUAAACAAUCUGCAAACAAAGGUUCUAGAAAACAGUCUGCAAGAGAAAGGCUCUUAUAGAUGUUGAAUCAGUUAGCAUCAUUUAGCGGUCUUAGCUUCUGGCCCAGUUUCUCUUGUUGUUAACCACAAGGGUAAGAUGAGAGAUGAUAUAAAAUGCCUUGCUGAAAACCAGUUUAUCUUGCCAGCCUGUCACCCAUUCAAAAAGGAAAGUACUUACUUGAGGCUGCUCUCAUCCUCUGUCUGCCACGUGAAGUUUGCGUGCCAUAGGAGGAGGGGGUCUUUCUCAGGUUGUUCUGUUAAGACCAGGACCCAGACGCCCUUGGAGGAUCUCAGAGAAACCCAAAGCCCGGAGAUAGCCUGUCAUCAUUUGCAAUAAUAACAGUCAUUAAAAUAUUAGAGUAAUACUGAAUGUUUACUUCAUGUCAGCCACAUCACUCAGUGCUUCACAUGUAAUAGCUCACUCAGCCUUGCAGGAACCGAGUUGGGCAAUUCUGCUGUCCUUAUUUUAUGAAUGAGGAGCUGAAAGCAUCAAGAAUUUGGAAAAGUUACUCAAGGGGAAAUGGCUAAUGAGCAAAGGAGCCGGGCGUCCAACUCAACACUGACCCGAGAGCCCACAUGCUCAUCAGUUCACUGUAUUUUUUUUUUCUUUCAUCAUCAUCAAGUGAAAGAAGUCAGUAGCCAUCAAGCACUUAUUAAAUGUGGGCUUUGGGUGUGGCCUGGUAUUGGGUGAAGCUGAAGACAGCAGCAAAAUAACACAGUCCUUGCCUGAAGGGACUGACACUUCAUUUGGGGGGGACCUUUUGUCGUUGAGUGAAGACAGUGCUUAGCAAGCAGAUGGAAGGCAAUGUGUGAGGAAUGGACUCCCAGUGCCACCCAGGCAGCUCGCUCAGACCUUGACUGCUUCGUCUCCACAGCCAGCUCUCAGAGACACGCUUGCCCAGGGAUGUCUCCCGCCCCUUCUGCUCUACACCUUCUCGCAAUUUCCCUUCUCAGUCUGCAUCUGUCCCUCGCCUCUUAGCUUCUGCGUGUCCCCCACGGAAACCACAAAUCUCCCGGCCCCUUCCAUUCUCAGUCAGUGGCGGACCCGCAGGUGACAUCCACGGCACUUGGAGGUGACCUUGUUUGAGUGAGACGCUGGCUUUUCAGUUACAUACAUCUCCAGUAGGCCGAACUGGCAGCUUGUCAGCAGGCUUAUGUCACUGGGUCAAAUCCCUCCUUGCCCGGCUUCCUUUAGUAAGCACCCCAGGAUGCUCCUGGAGCCCAGAAGGCAGAGGAGGGCAGGUGAGGGAGCCAGAAAGAAAGGGGGGAGCAAAAGCAGAGACCUGUCCCUCCCU